GCGCCCUAGGAGGGGCCUGCGGCCGAUUAGCUUGUUGGUGGGGUAACGGCCUACCAAGGCGAUGAUCGGUAGCUGGUCUGAGAGGACGGCCAGCCACAGGGGGACUGAGACACGGCCCCC
Molecule: ribosomal RNA, 120 nt
Filed under: uncultured bacterium
Lineage: Bacteria
Description: partial 16S ribosomal RNA
Rfam family: Bacterial small subunit ribosomal RNA
Source: RNAcentral